This 509-nucleotide ribosomal RNA is filed under the name Polycaon sp. TJH-2005. RNAcentral describes it as "partial 16S ribosomal RNA". It matches the Rfam family "Bacterial large subunit ribosomal RNA", at positions 1830 to 2600 of the family's 2925-position model. Lineage: Eukaryota; Metazoa; Arthropoda; Insecta; Coleoptera; Bostrichidae. The record is from RNAcentral.
GUCCUUUAGAUUAUAAUUUCAGGUCUGACCUGCCCAAUGAUUGAUUAAAUGGCCGCGGUAUUUUGACCGUGCAAAGGUAGCAUAAUCAUUAGUUUCUUAAUUAGGAACUUGUAUGAAGGGUUUGACGAGAGAAAUUCUGUCUCUUGAAAAAUAUUAGAAUUUUAUUUUUAAGUUAAAAAGCUUAAAUUUUUUUGAAAGACGAGAAGACCCUAUAGAGUUUAACAUUAAUAUUUAUUUAUUAUUUAAGGAAUUUUUUUUAACAGAUUUUUAUUAAUGUUUAAUUGGGGUGAUUAAAAAAUUAACUAAACUUUUUUUUUAUUUUUCUACUUUUAAGUAUUUUUUUGAUCCAUAGAUUAUGAUUUAAAGAUUAAAUUACCUUAGGGAUAACAGCGUUAUUGUUYUGGAGAGUUYUUAUCAAUAGAGCAGUUUGCGACCUCGAUGUUGGAUUAAAAUUUAUUUUAGGUGCAGGAGCUUAAAAAUUAGGUCUGUUCGACCUUUGAAAUUUUACA